RNAcentral lists this ribosomal RNA (433 nucleotides) under uncultured bacterium. Its description in RNAcentral is "partial 16S ribosomal RNA". It matches the Rfam family "Bacterial small subunit ribosomal RNA", at positions 29 to 507 of the family's 1533-position model. The record is from RNAcentral.
AACGAACGCUGGCGGCAUGCCUAACACAUGCAAGUCGAACGAGACCUUCGGGUCUAGUGGCGCACGGGUGCGUAACGCGUGGGAACCUGCCCUUAGGUUCGGAAUAACUCCCCGAAAGGGGUGCUAAUACCGGAAAAUGUCUUCGGACCAAAGAUUUAUCGCCUUUGGAUGGGCCCGCGUUGGAUUAGCUAGUUGGUAGGGUAAAAGCCUACCAAGGCGACGAUCCAUAGCUGGUCUGAGAGGAUGAUCAGCCACACUGGGACUGAGACACGGCACAGACUCCUACGGGAGGCAGCAGUGGGGAAUAUUAGACAAUGGGCGAAAGCCUGAUCCAGCAAUGCCGCGGGAGUGAUGAAGGCCUUAGGGUUGUAAAGCUCUUUUACCCGGGAUGAUAGUGACAGUACCGGGAGAAUAAGCUCCGGCUAACUCCGUG